UAGCGUAUGCUAAAGUUGUUGCAGUUAAAAGGCUCGUAGUCGAACUUAUGACCUGGAGUAACCUGGCCUAUCGUCUAGUACGUUACGCGCCGGUGUGCACGGGUCAUUAACUAACUAAGUGAUCGUGGCUACCCUUGAUUGGGUCGGCCGUCGAAAUAUCUGGUUCAUUUACUGUGAGUAAAUCAAAGUGUUCAAAGCAGGCUUUAAUGCUUGUAUGGUUCAGCAUGGAAUAACAAUAUAAGACUUCGGUUUUGUAUCGUUGGCUUUCAAAACCAAAGUAAUGAUUGAAAGGGAUAGUUGGGGGUGCUAGUAUUCAGUGGUCAGCGGUGAAAUGCGAGGGCCCAUUGAAGACUAACUUAUGCGAAAGCAUUCACCAAGGAUAUCUUCUUUGAUCAAGAACGAAAGUUGGGGGAUCGAAGACGAUCAGAUACCGUCGUAGUCUCAACCAUAAACUAUGCCAACUGAAGAUUGGCAGUCGUUGUCCAUUGACCCUGUCAGAAUUCUAUGAGAAAUCAAAGUCUCUGGGUUCUGGGGGGAGUAUGGUCGCAA
This 549-nucleotide ribosomal RNA is filed under the name uncultured Plasmodiophoridae. RNAcentral describes it as "bacterial SSU rRNA". It matches the Rfam family "Eukaryotic small subunit ribosomal RNA", at positions 595 to 1134 of the family's 1831-position model. Lineage: Eukaryota; Endomyxa; Phytomyxea; Plasmodiophorida. The record is from RNAcentral.